Molecule: ribosomal RNA, 245 nt
Filed under: uncultured bacterium
Lineage: Bacteria
Description: partial 16S ribosomal RNA
Rfam family: Bacterial small subunit ribosomal RNA
Source: RNAcentral
UACGGGGAGCAAGCGUUGUUCGGAUUUUACUGGCGUAAAGGGCGCGUAGGCGGCCAGCACAAGUCAGUUGUGAAUCUCCGGCUUAACUCGGAAAGGUCAACUGAUACUGUGCGGCUGGAGUCCGGAAGAAGGCGAGUGGAAUUCCUGGUGUAGCGGUGAAAUGCGCAGAUAUCAGGAGGAACACCGGUGGCGAAGCGUCUCUGGAAUGUCUGACGCUGAGGAGCGAAAGUGUGGGAGCAAACAGG